CUACGGGAGGCUCCAGUGGGGAAUAUUGCACAAUGGGGGAAACCCUGAUGCAGCAACGCCGCGUGGAGGAUGACGCAUUUCGGUGUGUAAACUCCUUUUAUAUAGGAAGAUAAUGACGGUACUAUAUGAAUAAGCACCGGCUAACUCCGUGCCAGCAGCCGCGGUAAUACGGAGGGUGCAAGCGUUACUCGGAAUCACUGGGCGUAAAGCGCGCGCAGGCGGUCUGAUAAGUUGGAUGUGAAAGCCUACGGCUCAACCGUAGAACUGCAUCCAAAACUGUCAGACUAGAGUCUGGGAGGGGAAGAUGGAAUUAGUUGUGUAGGGGUAAAAUCCGUAGAGAUAACUAGGAAUACCAAAAGCGAAGGCGAUCUUCUGGAACAGUACUGACGCUGAGGCGCGAAAGCGUGGGGAGCAAACAGGAUUAGAUACCCGAGUAGUC
Molecule: ribosomal RNA, 439 nt
Filed under: uncultured bacterium
Lineage: Bacteria
Description: partial 16S ribosomal RNA
Rfam family: Bacterial small subunit ribosomal RNA
Source: RNAcentral